UGGCGUCUGGUGGACACCCCGUCGGGCUUCAUUCCCGAGCAGGAUCAAGGCUUCCUGAUCGGCGUGGUGCAACUGCCCGCGGGCGCCUC
Molecule: transfer RNA, 89 nt
Filed under: compost metagenome
Description: tRNA-Sec
Source: RNAcentral